GAUGAAGAACGUAGCGAAAUGCGAUAAGUAAUGUGAAUUGCAGAAUUCAGUGAAUCAUCGAAUCUUUGAACGCACCUUGCGCUCCUUGGUAUUCCGAGGAGCAUGCCUGUUUGAGUGUCAUUAAAUUCUCAACCUCACCCGUUUUCUGAACGGGUCGAGGCUUGGAUGUGGGGGUUUGUGCAGGCUGCCUCACUGGCGGUCUGCUCCCCUGAAAUGCAUUAGCGAGGUUCAUGCUGAACUUCCGUCUAUUGGUGUGAUAAUUAUCUACGCCGUGGACGAGGAUCAGACUCGCUUCUAACUGUCCGCGAGGACAAUACCUUGACAAUUUGACCUCAAAUCAGGUAGGACUACCCGCUGAACUUAAGCAUAUCAAUAAGCGGAGGA
This 384-nucleotide unclassified non-coding RNA is filed under the name soil metagenome. Its description in RNAcentral is "partial contains 5.8S ribosomal RNA, internal transcribed spacer 2, and large subunit ribosomal RNA". The stretch from base 1 to 120 matches the Rfam family "5.8S ribosomal RNA", at positions 35 to 154 of the family's 154-position model. The record is from RNAcentral.